RNAcentral lists this ribosomal RNA (549 nucleotides) under Triticum aestivum (bread wheat). Its description in RNAcentral is "partial small subunit ribosomal RNA". Lineage: Eukaryota; Viridiplantae; Streptophyta; Magnoliopsida; Poales; Poaceae. The record is from RNAcentral.
AUGGUACAACUCUCAAGUUACAGCAAAUUAGCAGUUCGAUAUACUAGAGACACAGGGUGGUACUCACGGGAAAAGCAAGAACAAAGAAAACAAAUUGGGGAUCCCACCAUCGAUGCUUACCUAGAAGCGCCCACUCCCUCCAGCCCGAGGUGCAAGGCGACGGCGGACGGAGUUGUCGGAAGCUGUGACUCCAAGGAAGGGAGGAAGGGAUGGGGUCGGGGACGUGGAAUGGGGUUGGGGUUGGGGGCGGUGGACGGACAGAUCUCGGGGACGAAUCUCAUGAGCCCGGAGAUGGAGCCUGGCAGCAUAGGGCAGAAGUCGAACAGCAGCAGCGCCGUCAGCAGCGGCAGCCCGGAGAUGGAGCUCCGGCGGCAGCAGGAGCCCGGAUAUGGAGCCCCGCAGCAGCAGGUACGGCAGCAGAGGGAGCCCGGAGAUGGAUCCCCGGCAGCCGCAGGACGAGGAUUGGCAAUGACGGCGGCUGGAUGUGCAGCGCGAGGACGGCGCCUCGAUCUUGGGCUGGAGCUCAGGGGAUUGAGUACGGCGGAUUGA